GGUCACCAGUGGUCACUGCUGGUCACCGCUGGUCACUGCUGGUCACUGGUGGUCACUGGUGGUCACCGCUGGUCACCGCUGGUCACUCUGUCCAGGUGGUCACCGCUGGUCACCGCUGGUCACUGCUGGUCACUCUGUCCAGGUGGUCACCGGUGGUCACCGGUGGUCACUGCUGGUCACCGCUGGUCACUCUGUCCAGGUGGUCACCAGUGGUCACUGCUGGUCACCGCUGGUCACUGCUGGUCACUGGUGGUCACUGGUGGUCACCGCUGGUCACCGCUGGUCACUCUGUCCAGGUGGUCACCGCUGGUCACCGCUGGUCACUGCUGGUCACUCUGUCCAGGUGGUCACCGCUGGUCACUCUGUCCAGGUGGUCACUGCUGGUCACCGGUGGUCACUGCUGGUCACCGCUGGUCACCGCUGGUCACCGCUGGUCACUCUGUCCAGGUGGUCACCAGCAGUCACCGCUGGUCACCGCUGGUCACUCUGUCCAGGUGGUCACCGCUGGUCACUGCUGGUCACCGC
RNAcentral lists this long non-coding RNA (525 nucleotides) under Chloebia gouldiae (Gouldian finch). Its description in RNAcentral is "Erythrura gouldiae (Gouldian finch) lncRNA (ENSEGOG00005018603.1)". Lineage: Eukaryota; Metazoa; Chordata; Aves; Passeriformes; Passeridae. The record is from RNAcentral.